GCGACCUUACCACGUUGAAAACCCGGCUCUCGUCUGAUCACAGAGGUUGAGCUUUUUCGGGCCUGGCCAAUGUUUGGAUGAGUGACUGGCUGGGUAUGUCAGGUGUCGCCGUCGUU
RNAcentral lists this ribosomal RNA (116 nucleotides) under Fasciola hepatica (liver fluke). The record is from RNAcentral. Lineage: Eukaryota; Metazoa; Platyhelminthes; Trematoda; Plagiorchiida; Fasciolidae.